This 255-nucleotide RNase P RNA is filed under the name Truepera sp. Its description in RNAcentral is "Bacterial RNase P class A". It matches the Rfam family "Bacterial RNase P class A", at positions 1 to 266 of the family's 367-position model. From Rfam's summary of the family: Ribonuclease P (RNase P) is a ubiquitous endoribonuclease, found in archaea, bacteria and eukarya as well as chloroplasts and mitochondria. Its best characterised activity is the generation of mature 5'-ends of tRNAs by cleaving the 5'-leader elements of precursor-tRNAs. The record is from Rfam by way of RNAcentral. Lineage: Bacteria; Thermotogati; Deinococcota; Deinococci; Trueperales; Trueperaceae.
GGUGAGAGGGAGCUGAUCGCGGCUUCAUAGCUGAGGAAAGUCCGGGCUCCGCAGGGCAGGGUGCCAGGUAACACCUGGGCGCGUAAGGCGACGGCACGUGCAACAGAGAGCAGACCGCCAGGGCGGCAGUCGCCCCUUGGUAAGGGUGAAACGGUGCGGUAAGAGCGCACCAGUGCUGGUGGUAACACCGGCAGCUAGGUAAACCCCACCCGGUGCAAGGUCCGAUAGGGAGAAAGAGCUUGCCCGGCUCGCUAA